GGUCAGGACGAACGCUGGCGGCGUGCUUCAUACAUGCAAGUCGAACGAUAAGGUCUCUUCGGAGAUACAUAAGUGGCGGACGGGUGAGUAAAAUGUAGAGAAUCUGCCCUAGAGAUGGGGACAACAGUUGGAAACGACUGCUAAUACCCAAUAUGAGCGUAGUUGAAAUACUAUUCUUGAAAACUCCGGUGCUCUGGGAUGAGUCUGCAUCUGAUUAGCUAGUUGGAGGUGUAAUGGACCACCAAGGCGACGAUCAGUAGCUGGUUUGAGAGGAUGACCAGCCACAAUGGGACUGAGACACGGCCCAUACUCCUACGGGAGGCAGCAGUAGGGAAUUUUGCGCAAUGGGGGAAACCCUGACGCAAGCAACGCCGCGUGAAUGAAGAAGCCCUUCGGGGUGUAAAGUUCUGUCAGUAGGGAAGAAUAAAUGACUGUACCUACAGAGGAAGCAUCGGCUAACUCCGUGCCAGCAGCAGC
RNAcentral lists this ribosomal RNA (477 nucleotides) under uncultured bacterium. RNAcentral describes it as "bacterial SSU rRNA". It matches the Rfam family "Bacterial small subunit ribosomal RNA", at positions 22 to 518 of the family's 1533-position model. The record is from RNAcentral.